ACACAUGCAAGUCGAGGGGAAACGACAUCGAAAGCUUGCUUUUGAUGGGCGUCGACCGGCGCACGGGUGAGUAACGCGUAUCCAACCUGCCCACCACUUGGGGAUAACCUUGCGAAAGUAAGACUAAUACCCAAUGAUAUCUCUAGAAGACAUCUGAAGGAGAUUAAAGAUUUAUCGGUGAUGGAUGGGGAUGCGUCUGAUUAGCUUGUUGGCGGGGUAACGGCCCACCAAGGCUACGAUCAGUAGGGGUUCUGAGAGGAAGGUCCCCCACAUUGGAGCUGAGACACGGUCCAAACUCCUACGGGAGGCAGCAGUGAGGAAUAUUGGUCAAUGGACGAGAGUCUGAACCAGCCAAGUAGCGUGCAGGAUGACGGCCCUAUGGGUUGUAAACUGCUUUUAUAAGGGAAUAAAGUGAGUCUCGUGAGACUUUUUGCAUGUACCUUAUGAAUAAGGACCGGCUAAUUCCGUGCCAGCAGCCGCGGUAAUACGGAAGGUCCGGGCGUUAUCCGGAUUUAUUGGGUUUAAAGGGAGCGUAGGCCGGAGAUUAAGCGUGUUGUGAAAUGUAGAUGCUCAACAUCUGCACUGCAGCGCGAACUGGUUUCCUUGAGUACGCACAAAGUGGGCGGAAUUCGUGGUGUAGCGGUGAAAUGCUUAGAUAUCACGAAGAACUCCGAUUGCGAAGGCAGCUCACUGGAGCGCAACUGACGCUGAAGCUCGAAAGUGCGGGUAUCGAACAGGAUUAGAUACCCUGGUAGUCCGCACGGUAAACGAUGGAUGCCCGCUGUUGGUCUGAAUAGGUCAGCGGCCAAGCGAAAGCAUUAAGCAUCCCACCUGGGGAGUACGCCGGCAACGGUGAAACUCAA
RNAcentral lists this ribosomal RNA (863 nucleotides) under uncultured bacterium. RNAcentral describes it as "bacterial SSU rRNA". It matches the Rfam family "Bacterial small subunit ribosomal RNA", at positions 51 to 904 of the family's 1533-position model. The record is from RNAcentral.